RNAcentral lists this ribosomal RNA (460 nucleotides) under uncultured bacterium. Its description in RNAcentral is "partial 16S ribosomal RNA". It matches the Rfam family "Bacterial small subunit ribosomal RNA", at positions 338 to 795 of the family's 1533-position model. The record is from RNAcentral.
CCUACGGGGUGCAGCAGUGAGGAAUAUUGGUCAAUGGACGAGAGUCUGAACCAGCCAAGUCGCGUGAAGGAUGAUUGCCCUAUGGGUUGUAAACUUCUUUUAUAUGGGAAUAAAAUGUUCCACGUGUGGGAUUUUGUAUGUACCAUAUGAAUAAGGAUCGGCUAACUCCGUGCCAGCAGCCGCGGUAAUACGGAGGAUCCGAGCGUUAUCCGGAUUUAUUGGGUUUAAAGGGAGCGUAGGUGGAUUGUUAAGUCAGUUGUGAAAGUUUGCGGCUCAACCGUAAAAUUGCAGUUGAAACUGGCAGUCUUGAGUACAGUAGAGGUGGGCGGAAUUCGUGGUGUAGCGGUGAAAUGCUUAGAUAUCACGAAGAACUCCGAUUGCGAAGGCAGUUCACUGGACUGCAACUGACACUGAGGCUCGAAAGUGUGGGUAUCAAACAGGAUUAGAUACCCUUGUAGUC